UUUUUAUUUUUAUUUUUUAUUUUUUUGGAUUUUUAGGCCCACACCUGUGGCAUAUGGAAGUACCAGGCUAGGGAUCAGAUAUACUACAGCCACAGCAAGGCAGGAUCCCAGUCGUGUUUGUGAUCUACACCACAGCUCGUGGGAGUGCCAGAUCCUUAACCCACUGAGUGAGUUCAGGGAUCAAACCUGGGUCCUCAUGAUACUAGUCAGAUUCAUUACUGCUGAGCCAUGAUGGGAACUUCCGAUUUUUUUAUAAAGAGAAAAAAUGCAUCAUCUCAAGGGACUGAUCAUUGGAAUAGACUAUGUUUAAACUGAUUUAGACAUUUUAAAAAUGUUGACAUUACUAUUAUUAUUAUUUUUACCAUUGACCAUUGGAUAAGAGGCUAAACAUUUAGAUGGAAGACUACAUGAAGAAAAAUUUUUUUCAUAUUUAUCUGUGUUAAAAUAUAAGUUAAAUAUCAUUAAAUACUCAGAAAAAUGUCCAGGUGAUCAAUGCAAGUUAAUACAUUUAUUUUCACUUAAUGAUUUAAUAGUGUCAAGAACCCAAUGAUAUAGAAAUGGUAUUAAUGUAAAUACCAAUUAAAUAUAAAAAGAAGUCAUGAAAAUUUUUACAUAUGAAAUGUGUAUAUGAUAUGAAUGACAAUAUGUGUGUUUUAUGUAUAUAUAUAUUUGAAAAAUUAUCACAUUAACAUAGUACACAGUUAAAAUUCAUGAUAGUUUUAGUCAGAUCAACACAGUCUAGGAAAUUAAAUAAGAAUAUUUUAAAUUUAGCAGUAUCUGACAGAAAAAUUACUUAAUUAUACUUACAUUAAUACUUGGUAUUACUUAAUAUUGAAAGAAUUAUUUAAUGUCUAAAAUUGACAGAAAGGUUCAUAUUCACUCCCUAGUUUUUCUUUCAGGAGUUAUCUUAUUUAGAUUUUAAUAAAGUGGUACUUGUCAUUUAUCUAGUUUUUUCAGUUGAAGGGUAUACUCCUCAUUCAUUACAGAAUUCCACACACACACACACACACAAACACAACUAAACCAAACAAAAGCAAAUCCUUUAGAUGGAUAAGGGUAUGGCCCUUAGAAUUAGGGGGAAAAAAAACAAACAUCAUAACUUCUCUAAGUGCCAAUUUAGCAAACCUAUAAUUACUUGUAAUACUUUUGAAAAAUGUAUAAUAAAUGGUUAUUAGUGAAUAUUAGAGCCUCUACCUUUGUCCCCAUAAACAUCUCUCUCUUUCUCAAACCAGCUCCUGUCAGGUCACAGCUCUGGGGAGCCAUUUCAUCAAGCCAAAAUGCUUUUUGCUUAAUUUUAUUACUCCAUGUGAACAGCAAAUCAACCCAGUAUUCUCUGCUCCUCUUACUUUAUCCUCCAUUUCUUACAUCUUCCAUUCCUUUUUCACAAACAUGACAACACCCCUUGCAGAAGAGAAUGUGUUUGCCACCUCCAAAAUCCACAUGUAGAGUCCUCACCCUCUGGUGAUGGUGUAAGGAUGUGGGGGCUUUGAGAGCUGAUUAGGUCAUGAGGGUAGAGCCCCUGCUGAAUGGUGUUAGUGCCUUUACAAAGGAGAUCCCAGGAAGUUCCCUCACCCCUUCCCCUAUGUAAGGACAGAGUGAGAAGACAGCUGCCUAGGAAGCAGACAGUUUUCAGACUUUGAUUUUGGACUUCCCAGCUUCCAGAACUGUGAGACAUCUACGUGGACUGUAAGCCACCCAGUGUAUGGUAUUUUUGUUACAACAGCCCAACCUGACUGAGACGUUCCCUCUUCCCCCAUCACAAUGGCCCUCCUUCAUUGCUUUGGGGUUCUUCCCUCAACCUGGCUCCUGCUUAACCAUCUUAAGGUCUACUUCAACCAGUCCUUGGAGGAAACACACAGUCCUCAGCACAUAAGAAUCAGUAACAUUAACUGUAACUGUUAACACUGCUACUCAUCGCCCAUCCCCUGUACAUGAGCCAACUUCCACCCUGCCUGUCAAGUGGGGUUCAUCCUUCCUUCAAAGAUUCUUUAAAUUCUCAAAUAUCUCAUCCACUGUCCAAAUAGUCACAUUCACUAAUGCUGAAAGGGAAGAGUGCUUGUCAGAGCUACAUGGAAUAAUCAUAUUAUGAAGUAGAAAAAAGGCAAAAACUGAGAUUUCUGGUAUAUAAGCAUGGCUGCUGGAGACAGAUUUUUUUCCUGUCUAUCCCAAAGUAAAUAUGAUACCUUUAUUGAUCAUAAAAGAUCAGUAAGAAAAAAAUCUUACCCCUCCUUUCUCUCCCUCAAAGUAUAAUUUUCAUACAUACAUGGAGACAUAAUCUUCAGAGAGAAAAGAGGCUUAUGAGCAAGGUAUUUGGAAGUUGCAGGUGAAGAGUAGAAGGGGAAAAAGCACAAAGUAGACAGAGGUGCCAGAAGUGCCAAGUCUAAGAAAGUGCCAGCACAAAUGUCCACAGACCUGUGUACACAAGGGAGGCUCAGGGGGCUGUACAUCCAUGUUUUGGUAAUUGUGAAGGAAACUCAGUGAGCAGGAGCACUGGCUACAGAACUGCCUCUGAUUCAGAAGAGGCUGGGCAACCCCGAGAAUUACACUGAGAAGCCAUACUUUCAGGAAACAGUACUCAGCAGAGAAAAAAAGAAUCUUCAGAUUGUGAAAAAUCAUAAAAGCUGGAUGAAUAUCUGGCCAUUUCAGGAAUCACCCCAUCACAGGAACCACUUGAGUAGUAGGUUCAUGAAUAUUCAAUACCUUUUCAUCUGAUUAUUAAUAAUAAUGAAGAUUGAGACAAACCAGUGUAAAAAGAAGGGUGGGGAAGCACAGUAAGUUUAUAAAAUUGAUUUAAUUAAGAAAAAUAGUAUAUUACUUUUAAUAAAAAUUCCAUAAAUAUUUUAUUGCCAAAAUCCAUCCAAAUAUUCGUAAAUUGCUAUUUACUGAACAUGAUAAAAGAUAUCUAGCUCACUUUUAAAUCUAAUCUCAUGAUUAAUAGUGAAAUCUUAGAGGAAUCACUCUGAAAAACAGGAACUAGAUAAGGACUUCUCUCUCCAGUAUCACUUAAUAUUUUACAGGAAUUACUGGCCAAGCCAAUUAUGAAUAAAAUGUAUAAACUGUGAAAAAGAAAAGCUAAACAUGUAUCAGUAUUUGCUCAUGAUAUGCUCUCAUAACAGAAAGUCAAAGAAAAUCAACUGGGAAAAAAAUGCUACUGCAAAGUAAAAAAAAGAAAUCAAUAAGAUAAUAGGAACUAAAUUAUUACAAAGGGGAGUUCCUAUUGUGGCUCAGCAGAAACACAUCUGACUAGUAUCCAUGAGGAUGCAAGUUUGAUCUCCGGCCUCAGUCAGUGAGUUAAGGAUCUGGCAUUGCCGUGAGCUGCAGUGUAGGUUGCAGAGGCGGCUGGGAUCCCACAUUGCUGUGGCUGUGUUGUAGGCCAGCAGCCAUUGCUCUGAUUCAAGCCCUAGCCUGGGAACUUCCAUAUGCCAUGUGCGCAGAC
RNAcentral lists this long non-coding RNA (3436 nucleotides) under Sus scrofa (pig). RNAcentral's name for it is "lncRNA (ENSSSCG00000056659.1)". The record is from RNAcentral. Lineage: Eukaryota; Metazoa; Chordata; Mammalia; Artiodactyla; Suidae.